AUGAGUGUGUUAGAGGUGACCCCAGUGUCAAUCAGAAUAUUCCAGAAUCAGUCAGUUCUCUAUGCCAACAACCCAUGGCCUAGAGUACAAUCUAAGAAGCCAGUUUUUGGAAUGUGUACCUUAUACCUUAUAACCUCUAAGACCUAUAGACCACUAGGUUUCAUGGAGCAGCAUGAAGACUCCAUCUGCCUACAGAGAUAGAGCCAGGCUUGGCUUAGUCAAGAAGUGUCAUUGUAUUCUCUAUAGUACAGGAGUGAAUAUUUGUUUUAUAUCUCUAUGAAACUAAAUCUGAUUUCUCCGGGAUACUCCAUUAGACAUGUAUACACUUACCUUUGGAGGUCUGCUGGGGCAGGCCCACAAGAACUCUAAUCAAAUAAAGGAGUAGCCCUCUGCAAGAAGAACUCAUCCUGGGAGAAAGGAGAAUCAAUCAAAUGAAUUUGAUCUAACAACUAAACCUCAGGUGUUUAAUAAGAGUCAUGGCAAUUCUGAAUGCAGUAUGGCAUCUAUCUCUCAGGUCUGACCUCAAACACACAAACAGAACUCAUGCCUAUAGCACUGAGUUACAUGAUGAGAUUUGGAGUCCUGAAAAAUUAUCACAGCCAGUGAUGUGCUGGAGCUAAACUCUACUCUUCCAAAAGCCGAUGAAUAAAUCAUCAGGCAAAACCAGUAACAUCAGAGGUGUCCACUGAAUGGCUCAGAAUUGAGAAAAUCCACCUUUCUGGAAGCAGAGUGACAGAGGAGCUGAAACUGGAGGCUCCUACAUAGUGGUCUGGAGAAUAUGGCAUUUCCUUUCACAAUCAGAGCAACAGGAGA
This is a long non-coding RNA of Canis lupus familiaris (dog), 813 nucleotides long. RefSeq lists it as uncharacterized. The transcript has 3 exons. The record is from RefSeq and is a predicted model, not a curated record. NCBI's taxonomy places the organism in Eukaryota, Metazoa, Chordata, Mammalia, Carnivora, Canidae.